GCUUAUCAUCAUUCCAGAUUGAAUAUACCCGAUCUCGUCUGAUCUCGGAAGUCAAGCAAUCUCCGGCUUGGUUAGUACUUGGAUGGGUGACCGCUUGGGAAUACCAAGUGUGAUAAGCA
This is a non-coding RNA of Ciona savignyi (Pacific transparent sea squirt), 119 nucleotides long. NCBI's taxonomy places the organism in Eukaryota, Metazoa, Chordata, Ascidiacea, Phlebobranchia, Cionidae. The record is from Rfam.